UGUUUAUUUGUACGUUCCCAAUUUCAAACACAUAAACGUGAUUUUCAGUUUGUAAUUCAAAUGUUCGACGUUCCGGAAUUUUUUAUCUGUGAUUCUAACUUUAUUAAAGAUGUAUUACAAACUUUUUCAUAUCAAUAGGUGCUUAUCAUGUUUUUCAUUGUUUAUAUUGGUAUGUAUUUAUACCGAACUAGCAAUGUAUGCCAUCCUACAAGAUUCUUUUUGUAAUACAAAUAAUAUAAACGAUUGUAAUUGCCGUAUCACCUUCAAGUAAUGUUCUCAUUGUCGAUUAGAAUAAUGAUAAAUGCUUCUAUAUUGAGCAUGAUAAAUUGUGAAAACGCGACGUCAAACGCGAAUUUACAAAUUCAAUGUGAAAGAGGAAGUUACUAUCUCGACAAAGCAGGGUAUCGAAAAUCAACAACUACACCCGUCCUUUAGCAUCCCAGAGAAAGACUUAUAAUCAGAAAGAACGAAGAGGUCCCAACUUUUUAGAUUGGAUGGGCCUUCCAGUUGAUUUCUUCGAUCUUGAAGACUCUUUACCAAAAUUUGAUAAUUGCCUAUCGGAAAUCUGUCCAUAGAGGUCCGUUGUAACAACUGGUUACUCUCCGUUAUACGAUUCCUUGGGUCAAGAACAUCAUCCAUGGAUCUCUGCUAAUCUUCCCGAACGCCAUACAUUUUUUGUCUUCAUUUGAAAAUUUCCUUUUGGUUCGGAUCUAAAUGAAACGUACAUCUGGGCAUUCAAGCGGCUUAUGUACGAGCAUUCCAAUUUAUCCGAUUUCGAACGGGUCUACUCUCAUUAUAUUUGGGCAAAAACAUCAUCCAUGAAUCACUACUGAUCCUCUCGAACGCCAUAAAUUUUCUGUAUUUAAUUGGAAGUUUUCCGUUGGUUUGGAUCUAAAUGGAGCGUACAUCUGAGGCAUUCAUCCAGCAUCUGCACGAAUCUUCAUCCAUUUAAAAAAUCGAACCGAUUUAGAUUCAAUUUCUCGCGACACGCGAAUAAUCUAUGGGUUUAUUCAUCUUCUCGAAUGCCAUGAUUUUGAUCUAUUCGCUUGGGAAGUUUUUAAUUGGUUCUAAUCUGGGUGCUGCAUAUAUCUGGGUUAUGCAACUAAAUUUAGUGCAAGCUUUGCUCUUGAUUAAAAUUCGUUGUAGAAAUAGAGCAACAAACGUGGAAAAAAUUGAAGGGUGCGCGGUCUAAACCUGUU
Long non-coding RNA from Belonocnema kinseyi, 1199 nucleotides. RefSeq lists it as uncharacterized. Lineage: Eukaryota; Metazoa; Arthropoda; Insecta; Hymenoptera; Cynipidae. The transcript has 4 exons. The record is from RefSeq and is a predicted model, not a curated record.